This 494-nucleotide ribosomal RNA is filed under the name uncultured bacterium. Its description in RNAcentral is "partial 16S ribosomal RNA". It matches the Rfam family "Bacterial small subunit ribosomal RNA", at positions 28 to 507 of the family's 1533-position model. The record is from RNAcentral.
GACGAACGCUGGCGGCGUGCUUGACACAUGCAAGUCGAACGGAAAAGCCUGCUUUCCCUUGUGGAUUGCGGGUACUCGAGUGGCGAACGGGUGAGUAACACGUGAGUGAUCUGCCCCCAACUUGGGUAUAAGCCUGGGAAACUGGGUCUAAUUCCCGAUAGGACUGCAGGGUGGUGCCUGUGGUGGAAAACGAUUUUCUAGUGGUUGGGGAUGAGCUCGCGGCCUAUCAGCUUGUUGGUGGGGUAAUGGCCUACCAAGGCGGCGACGGGUAGCCGGCCUGAGAGGGUGGACGGCCACAUUGGGACUGAGAUACGGCCCAGACUCCUACGGGAGGCAGCAGUGGGGAAUAUUGCACAAUGGGCGGAAGCCUGAUGCAGCGACGCCGCGUGGGGGAUGACGGCCUUCGGGUUGUAAACUCCUUUCGACCGCGAGGAAGCCACCUGGUUGGAAGGGUGGUGACGGUAGUGGUAGAAGAAGCACCGGCUAACUACGUG